RNAcentral lists this ribosomal RNA (236 nucleotides) under Clostridioides difficile. RNAcentral describes it as "partial 23S ribosomal RNA". It matches the Rfam family "Bacterial large subunit ribosomal RNA", at positions 2388 to 2623 of the family's 2925-position model. The record is from RNAcentral. Lineage: Bacteria; Bacillati; Bacillota; Clostridia; Peptostreptococcales; Peptostreptococcaceae.
GUCGAGCAAGGAUGAAAAUCGGACUUAGUGAUCCGGUGGUUCUGCGUGGAAGGGCCAUCGCUCAACGGAUAAAAGCUACCCUGGGGAUAACAGGCUUAUCUCCCCCAAGAGUCCACAUCGACGGGGAGGUUUGGCACCUCGAUGUCGGCUCAUCACAUCCUGGGGCUGUAGUAGGUCCCAAGGGUUGGGCUGUUCGCCCAUUAAAGUGGUACGCGAGCUGGGUUCAGAACGUCGUG